UAUAUAUAUCUGUAUUAAUGUGGAUACCUUUUUCGGGUGUUUUUUUUGGGGGGGGGGGGGAAGGUUCGAGAAGGAUCAUGACGCUGCACAUCGGGUCAGGGUCGAGAAUUUCGCAAAGAUCGGCAGGAAAGAUAAUACGAUGGGUUUUCUCGGAGUUUUCAAAACUGCAGGUACUCGGUUACAUAACCCAUUCGGCAUGCGCUUGAAACCGUUAAAAAUAUACCCCACGGAAAUAUAAAAUAAUAUAUGAGAAUUCACCG
This is a non-coding RNA of Cinara cedri, 260 nucleotides long. The record is from the annotation of a GenBank genome assembly. NCBI's taxonomy places the organism in Eukaryota, Metazoa, Arthropoda, Insecta, Hemiptera, Aphididae.